Molecule: long non-coding RNA, 352 nt
Organism: Mugil cephalus (flathead mullet)
Lineage: Eukaryota; Metazoa; Chordata; Actinopteri; Mugiliformes; Mugilidae
Exons: 2
Source: RefSeq, a predicted model, not a curated record
CGCAAACGCAACGAUCCCCCUAAUACGGAGGGGUCUCCCCAUCGGCAGCGAGGAUGGCCACCGUUUCUUUUCACCGCAAGAUAAAUUAAUCGCAGAGUUCUGCAGAAUGGUCGAGUCCUUUCUGGGUGGACGAUGAGUUGAUGCCCAGUCUUCUACAACUGUACAAAGUAGCUGGUAGCUGGUACGUCGGGCAGGAGGUUGGCCCUGAGCAGCAUUCUGAAUUGUCUUCAAAGGGAGGUAUGUACUGUGUAGAUAAAUAUUUCCUAUCAAAGAGUAGUAAGAUUAAGAUUCUAGCUUGUGUACUGAAUUCACCUACUAUUACAGUUUUUUUUUUUUUUUUUUUUUUUUUUUU